AGAGUUUGAUCAUGGCUCAGAUUGAACGCUGGCGGCAUGCCUAACACAUGCAAGUCGAACGGCAGCACAGUAGAGCUUGCUCUAUGGGUGGCGAGUGGCGGACGGGUGAGUAAUGCAUCGGGAUCUACCCAAACGUGGGGGAUAACGUAGGGAAACUUACGCUAAUACCGUAUACGUCCUAAGGGAGAAAGCGGGGGACCGAAAGGCCUCGCGCGGUUGGACGAACCGAUGUGCGAUUAGCUAGUUGGUAGGGUAAUGGCCUACCAAGGCGACGAUCGCUAGCUGGUCUGAGAGGAUGAUCAGCCACACUGGAACUGAGACACGGUCCAGACUCCUACGGGAGGCAGCAGUGGGGAAUAUUGGACAAUGGGCGCAAGCCUGAUCCAGCAAUGCCGCGUGUGUGAAGAAGGCCUUCGGGUUGUAAAGCACUUUUAUCAGGAGCGAAAUACCAUUGGCUAAUAACCGAUGGGGCUGACG
This 477-nucleotide ribosomal RNA is filed under the name uncultured bacterium. RNAcentral's name for it is "bacterial SSU rRNA". It matches the Rfam family "Bacterial small subunit ribosomal RNA", at positions 8 to 474 of the family's 1533-position model. The record is from RNAcentral.